Molecule: small nucleolar RNA, 107 nt
Organism: Humulus lupulus (European hop)
Lineage: Eukaryota; Viridiplantae; Streptophyta; Magnoliopsida; Rosales; Cannabaceae
Source: RefSeq, a predicted model, not a curated record
AUGCCAUGAUGCGGGCAUUUUCUAAGUAACUCCUUGAACCUCUCCCAAGCAUCACAUACAGAUUCAUCCUCCAACUGUUGAAAAGAAAUAAUUUCAUUCCGGAACUU